RNAcentral lists this ribosomal RNA (490 nucleotides) under uncultured bacterium. Its description in RNAcentral is "partial 16S ribosomal RNA". The stretch from base 91 to 490 matches the Rfam family "Bacterial small subunit ribosomal RNA", at positions 39 to 507 of the family's 1533-position model. The record is from RNAcentral.
GGGGGGGGGGGGGGGGGGGGGGGGGGGGGGGGGGGGGGGGGGGGGCGGGGGGGGGGGGGCUCGGUGGGGGGGGAGUGGGGGGGGGGGGGGGAGGACAGGGGAGUCUGGCGAGUCGUGGGGGCUGGCGUAGGGGCACUGACGCUGAUGGCGCAUCCGACGUGCGGGGGGCAGAUGCGGGUCGCAAGACCACUCGCUAGUGGAUGCGCCGCUGGCGGAUUAGCUCGUUGUCGGGGUAAUGGCCCACCACGGCGGCGCCACGUAGCUGGUCUGAGAGUAUGAUCAGCCACACUGGAACUGAGACACGGUCCAGACUCCUACGGGAGGCAGCAGUGGGGAAUAUUGGACAAUGGGCGCAAGCCUGAUCCAGCCAUACCGCGUGGGUGAAGAAGGCCUUCGGGUUGUAAAGCCCUUUUGUUGGGAAAGAAAUCUUUCAGGCUAAUACCCUGGGAGGAUGACGGUACCCAAAGAAUAAGCACCGGCUAACUUCGUG